RNAcentral lists this transfer RNA (74 nucleotides) under Candidatus Saelkia tenebricola. Its description in RNAcentral is "tRNA-Ile". It matches the Rfam family "tRNA". From Rfam's summary of the family: Transfer RNA (tRNA) molecules are approximately 80 nucleotides in length. Their secondary structure includes four short double-helical elements and three loops (D, anti-codon, and T loops). Further hydrogen bonds mediate the characteristic L-shaped molecular structure. tRNAs have two regions of fundamental functional importance: the anti-codon, which is responsible for specific mRNA codon recognition, and the 3' end, to which the tRNAs corresponding amino acid is attached (by aminoacyl-tRNA synthetases). tRNAs cope with the degeneracy of the genetic code in two manners: having more than one tRNA (with a specific anti-codon) for a particular amino acid; and 'wobble' base-pairing, i.e. permitting non-standard base-pairing at the 3rd anti-codon position. The record is from RNAcentral. Lineage: Bacteria; Pseudomonadati; Candidatus Omnitrophota.
GGUCCCGUAGCUCAAAUGGUUAGAGCAGCUGACUCAUAAUCAGUUGGUUCCAGGUUCAAGUCCUGGCGGGACCA